AGCAACAAAAAGAAUGUUUGUUAGCUAGAAAUACGGGAUCUUAUUCAUGUGAAGAGAGCACUAGCUAUGAGGAACCAAAAAGCUAUAUAAAGGGGCACAUGACUGCUGGAAGGGUGUUGAGAAAUUCCUUCUGGUUUUUGGUUGUGGCUGGGCUAACGUUCUGCUAGACGGGAGAGUGCUCCUGGAUUCCUUUGGGAAGAUUUAUUUUGUAUUGUUGAAUUGAGUAAUUGCUUGAGACUUUGAGAGUUAUUUUGUAGCAGAGAAAUACUAUUUGUAUUCGAGAAUUUCAGUAUUCAAUACAAUCUCAGCUUUGUUU
Molecule: unclassified non-coding RNA, 316 nt
Filed under: Hevea brasiliensis (rubber tree)
Lineage: Eukaryota; Viridiplantae; Streptophyta; Magnoliopsida; Malpighiales; Euphorbiaceae
Source: RNAcentral